GCAGCGGUCGCUUAGCCUGGUAGAGCGCUGGCCUGGAAACUGGAGAUAUCCAGAAAGCCAGUGUGGGUAAUCCAUGCGGGGGUUCGAAUCCCUCUCGCUGCG
This 102-nucleotide transfer RNA is filed under the name Promethearchaeota archaeon. RNAcentral's name for it is "Candidatus Lokiarchaeota archaeon tRNA-Ser". It matches the Rfam family "tRNA". Rfam says of the family: Transfer RNA (tRNA) molecules are approximately 80 nucleotides in length. Their secondary structure includes four short double-helical elements and three loops (D, anti-codon, and T loops). The record is from RNAcentral. Lineage: Archaea; Promethearchaeati; Promethearchaeota.